AACUCCUACCAUCAUUGAGGCAAUAAUGUUCUCUCCCUCCGUUAAUUUCCCUCUCACCCGCGUAAACCACUGUCACUUUCAAACCGUCGACCAGACACAAAACAUCGGUCAUCGAAACAUUGCGAAAAAAAAUUAAUUAAUUCAAAUUAAAACCAUAAACGAUAAAAUUCAAAAAUAAACUAAACAAAAAUUCAAAUAUCAAAAAAAAAAAGGACCUCCAUUGAUCAAACAAAAAAUCUUAAUUUUAUUAUUAUGAUAAUCAAUGUCAACAAAUUAAAAAACAUGUAGUUUUUUUUUUUUUUUUAUCAAUCGAUAAUAUUAAUCCUGGACACAGUGAAGAGUGUGCCGGAAAGUGAACGAGUUUUUAUUUUAUUUUAUUUAUAUUCAAAUUUUUUAUUUCGAACGGAAGUGUGCAUCGUUGAACCAGUGUUGUGUACGUUUUUUUAUUUUUAAACUUUUUUUUAUAUAUACGAAUCAACAGAUCAAUCUAGAAAGAAGUAAUUUUUUUUUGUUUAUAAUUUUUAUUUUAUAUUGAUGAUGAUUGUAAAUAUUUUCAAAGUCAAUUAUUGCUUGAUAAUUAAACAUGAGAACGUGAGUUGGAUAUUUAUUGAAUAAAAAAUAAUAAAAUGCAACAAAUUAACAGUGUUUAUAGACGUAAUUAUUGAUGAUGCAAGGGAAGAGAACAAGUAACUAUUAUGAAUCUAUGUAGGCUGAACACGUAGAGCAAUUGAAUCGCACAGUGGAUUAAGUAACAACAUACCGACGUGAAAGUUAUUCCACUCUUUGAUAAACUUGCUUUAAAAUUUAUGAAGAUAGUUAAAUAUGAUGUCGUUCUUGACGAGUUUCAUGUCAACACUUUUACUUGAUGGUGACAGAAAUAUUGAAAAUGAUAAAUUUAAUAUGGCAACAUUUAUGGUUUUUUUUUUACUCAUAACUAUUGAAGUUGUUAUUGUCAAAGUUGUCACAUUUGAAAUGGAGCAUGAUGAUGAAAGCCGGUUUGGAGUACAUUCAGCAGCUAUUUUUUUUGACUAUGAUGAUUAAUUUAAUUUUUUUUUUUUAAUUUAAUCUGAUAUAUAUACUUUAAUUAAUA
Molecule: long non-coding RNA, 1090 nt
Organism: Aphidius gifuensis
Lineage: Eukaryota; Metazoa; Arthropoda; Insecta; Hymenoptera; Braconidae
Exons: 3
Source: RefSeq, a predicted model, not a curated record